This 434-nucleotide ribosomal RNA is filed under the name uncultured bacterium. RNAcentral describes it as "bacterial SSU rRNA". It matches the Rfam family "Bacterial small subunit ribosomal RNA", at positions 76 to 503 of the family's 1533-position model. The record is from RNAcentral.
CAGCUUGCUGCUUCGCUGACGAGUGGCGGACGGGUGAGUAAUGUCUGGGAAACUGCCUGAUGGAGGGGGAUAACUACUGGAAACGGUGGCUAAUACCGCAUAACGUCGCAAGACCAAAGAGGGGGACCUUCGGGCCUCUUGCCAUCAGAUGUGCCCAGAUGGGAUUAGCUUGUUGGUGAGGUAACGGCUCACCAAGGCGACGAUCCCUAGCUGGUCUGAGAGGAUGACCAGCCACACUGGAACUGAGACACGGUCCAGACUCCUACGGGAGGCAGCAGUGGGGAAUAUUGCACAAUGGGCGCAAGCCUGAUGCAGCCAUGCCGCGUGUAUGAAGAAGGCCUUCGGGUUGUAAAGUACUUUCAGCGGGGAGGAAGGUGUUGUGGUUAAUAACCGCAGCAAUUGACGUUACCCGCAGAAAAAGCACCGGCUAACUC